UCAUACAAAAUGUACUUCGGUCAACGCUUUUACACCCCAAUGAAGUUACAAAAAGAAGCAUUCAAUUCUUAAAUAACUUGUUGGCAUUGUAAAUAUGCUAUUUUUUGUCAUUGUCUAUAAAAUUAUGAGACUAUGUACACCAUAUAUAAAUGUGGUAAAACCUGUUCAGAUUAAAACAUAUUAUUUUUUAAAACAACUCAUUCUAUUGUUAUUUUUUUUAACCAUAGUUAAAUUAUCUUAUUUCUUUUUUAUACGAGCGCAAAAAUGAAAAAAAAAAUGUCGUAAAUUGGUAUCACGUCGUUGUCUGUGUCGUUAUCAUCAGUAAAGUCCGAAAAUGAAUGAUUUCCGGAUAAUAACUUCAGUAUAAGUAAAUAGAAAUCAAAAACAUUUUAAGACAAGGUUUUUAACCACAAAGGAAGGUAGGGAUUGAUUUUGGGAUUUUGGUCCCAACUGUUUAGGAAUUAGGGGCCAAAAAGGGGCACAAAUAAGAAUUUUUCUUGGUUUUCGCACAAUAACUUCAGUAUAAGUAAAUAGAAAUCUAUGAAAUUUAAACACAUUGUUUAUGACCACAAAAGGAAGGUUGUUAUUGAUUUUGGGAGUUUUGGUUCACAAGAGUUUAGGAAUUAGGGGCCAAAAGGGUCCAAAACUUAGUUUGAUUUUAACAAAAAUUAAUUCUUGGUGUUCUUUGAUAUGCUGAAUCUAAACAUGUACUUAUAUUUUAGAUUAAUAUGGGCCCAGUUUUCAAGUUGAUCCAAUUCGGGGUCAAAAACCAAACUUUGUUUGAUUUCAACAAAAAUUGAAUAUUUGGGGUUCUUUGAUAUGCUGAAUCUAACCAUGUAUUUAGAUUUUUUUAUAUUUGGGCCCCUUUAUCAAUUUGGUCCACAUUGAGUUCUAAAGUGUCCAAAAUUGAACUUUAUUUGAUUUUAUCAAAAAUAAAAUUCUUGGUGUUUUUUGAUAUGCUGAAUCUAACCAUGUAUUUAGAUUUUGGAUAUUGGACCAUUAUAAAUGUCCAAUUUAAAUUUUUAAAGUUCUUAGACCACAUCCAUUCUGUGUCAAAAACCUAUUCUGUGUCAACUAUUUAAUCACAAUCCAAAUUCAGAGCUGUAUCAAGCUUGAAUGUUGUGUCCACACUUGCCCCAAAUGUUCAGGGUUCGACCUCUGUGGUCGUAUCAAGCUGCGUCCUGCGAAGCAUCUGGUGUCAUUUGAUUUGAUAAUCCAGGUAUUUUUUUCUUGAGAGCAGAAAACCCUGGUUGGUAAAUGUAUUUUGAAUCAAUAUGUAUAGCUGGAAUACUAUAUUAUUUUAUACAUGUAUUGGAGUUAAUAGAUAUAAUGUGUCUCGACAUUUAUAUAAUGUAGAGAUGAAUGAUAUUCUUUUGAUGAAAGGUAACCGAAUCUUGCUAAUUGCCACCUUAGUGUACCGUAUAUUAUACUUUUGAAGGUCGAAUUGCUUUACCAAACCCAACUGUUCAUAAAAACAACAUGGUCAUUUUGGUCAUUAAACUUUACUGAAUUACUGCACUUAUAAAUACCAAAAUAAAAGUGUAUUAACUAGAGGAAAAAAAGCUCACAAAUAUAUAAUGGAUGCACAUAAUUUUAUGAUCUCAUGAAAUAUAAGGCAAAAGAAUAAAAAAAAUAUUGAUUACAUGUAUUAAAAUUGAUUUCCUAUCAUGCAUUGAAGUUGAAGGUCAAGUUUUGGGAAUGUUUUUCAGUGUAUCACUUAUAACGCAGGAAUUGCCUCAUUUUUACACGUUCCAUCACUUUAUUCCAUGGCAUUUAAUUAUACCCCUGCUUUCAAAAAAGGGGGGUAUACUGUUUUACCUCUGUCUGUCAGUCCGUCCGUCCGUCAGUCCGUCCCAUGAAACUUUCGUCACAUUUUUCUCAGGAACUACAAUACAAGGAUUUCUGAAAUUUGGUUUCAGGGUUUAUCUAAGUCAGCUAUACCGUGUGAUGCGUUUUCAGAUUGAUCACUUGACAACUUCCUGUUUACCGAACACUUGUAUGAUUUUACACAUGAUAGCCAAGUUGAAAAUUUUCAUCACAUUUUUCUCAGGAACUACAAUACAAGGAUUUCUGAAAUUUGGUUUCGAGAUUUAUAUAAGUCAGCUAUACCGUGUGAUGCGUUUUCAGAUUCAUCACUUGACAACUUCCUGUUUACCGAACACUUGCAUAUUUUUACACUAUUAAUAUUAUCCACUUGCGGCGGGGGUAUCAUCAGUGAGCAGUAGCUCACAGUUUCACUUGUUCAAUGUUCAUUAGUGUCGUACAGAAAAUAAUUAAUACUAGUCAAAUGUAUAAUCCACCACAAAAACUGAACAAAAAUAUUUUGACAAUCAUAUAAUUCUUAGAAUUAUAAAAAUAAUCUUUUUAGUAAAAUAGUUGUUUAAAAAGAUAUUGAUAUAUUAUAAGCAGCAUUAUAAUAAACUCCAUAAAUUACUAUACUGUACAGUACUAUAUGUUAAUAAUUAGACCAAUAUAUAAGUGUAGAAAUAUUGUAUAUUUAUUUCCUAGAAAUGGUUGGAGGGAUUUAUAUAGUCAUAAACUUUAGUCAAGUUUUAGAGGGAACCUAUAUAGAAUGUCUUAAUGAUGUUCGGAGAGUACAUUUAUUAUAGGAUUAAAUGCCUUUUUAAAGGAAUUUAUUGGUGUAUAAACUCGACAAAUUCACUCAAAAACAAAUAACAGUCCGAAGGACUUUAAUGAUAUGUUUGUGAGUGACUUGGUCCAGUUUAUACACCAUUAAAUUCCUUUAAAAAGGCGUUUAAUCCUUAUAAUUCUUUAGAAAUAGAGAUAGGGAAAUAUUUUUCCACACUCCUUACCUCUAUCACACAUAAAUUGUAUAUUUAUGUCAUUGAAUAGGCCUGACGCAUGAAUAUUUGUUGGUUAACGCAAAAAUAUGUUCUCAAUGAGAUUUACUAUCUGAUAAACAGUAAACUGUAAAAUUCCUUAUUAUCAUUCAAACAAAUGUUUUAGUGUAAUAUUUAAUUUAAGGUUUAACGUGCAGUGAAAAUAAAUUUGGUGACGUCCGUGAUAUUAUUGUUUACAUUGGUCACUAAAAGAAGCUUGGUCAAUGUCCUUGAUCGAAAAAAAACAACGUCAAGAUCGACUACCGGAAGUUCUUUCGACCAAUCAUAUCAACGUAUUCCCUUAUAUGCAAAUCAUAUAAGAAUUAUUGUAUAGUAGAUAAGUAGGUAUAUGGCUGGUAUUUUUCAUAUUUCGUAUUUUGUAGAAAUGAAUUGAAAGGUAUAUAUCUUAAGCUACUUUGAAUAUGUUAACUAACUACACCUGUUUUUGUUUUAUCUAUAAUGCUUGUUUUACAUGAUAACCAGAUUCUUUUAAAGAAAUUAUUAACUGUAUAUUUUAUUAUUUUAAUAUUACUCAGCCAUACCAAAUGGUCAUAUCUAUCAGGAGUUCUGAAAAUAAAUAUAAUCAUUUUGUACUACUUUUUCAGCAAAUUUUUCAAUGAACUCAUUGUUAAAGGCUAUUUAGUGACCUGCAAUAAUUGUUAAGUUCUUCAUGGACAGUUGUCUCAUUGGCAAUCAUACCACAUUUCUCUUUAUUUUAUAUUGUUCUGACUGGCUGAAUUAAAAAUAAAAUGAUGAUAAAAAUAUGUUUAAUGCUGCAAACUCUAUGGUCUAAAGAACACCAAGUAGACUUUAAACAUUCCUAAACAUGAUUGAUCUGCCAGUUUGCUCCGGUGAAUAUUUUUUCACAUUAUAUAAAUGGAAACACAAAGAAAGAGGGACUCUCUACACUCAUCUGUAUUCAUGAGAUUUUGUUAUGUUUAUUACUUGUUCAGCUUAAUUUGUUGAAUGUUUUAUUGAUUGGUUGUUGUUUUCAUACUAUACUAGUAUAUGAGAAACUAUAUUUUAUUAUCUUACAACUUUGAUAAAUUGAAAUAAAAUUGUUUUUUUU
Molecule: long non-coding RNA, 3909 nt
Filed under: Mytilus galloprovincialis (Mediterranean mussel)
Lineage: Eukaryota; Metazoa; Mollusca; Bivalvia; Mytilida; Mytilidae
Source: RNAcentral